This 423-nucleotide ribosomal RNA is filed under the name uncultured bacterium. RNAcentral's name for it is "bacterial SSU rRNA". It matches the Rfam family "Bacterial small subunit ribosomal RNA", at positions 984 to 1387 of the family's 1533-position model. The record is from RNAcentral.
ACAUGUGCCGGUCGGCUCCGGAGACGGGGCUUCCUCCUUGUGGGGCCGGUUCACAGGUGGUGCAUGGUUGUCGUCAGCUCGUGUCGUGAGAUGUUGGGUUAGGUCCCGCAACGAGCGCAACCCUUGUCCCGUGUUGCCAGCACGUUGUGGUGGGGACUCGCGGGAGACUGCCGGGGUCAACUCGGAGGAAGGUGGGGAUGACGUCAAAUCAUCAUGCCCCUUAUGUCUUGGGCUUCACGCAUGCUACAAUGGCCGGUACAGAGGGCUGCGAUACCGUGAGGUGGAGCGAAUCCCUUAAAGCCGGUCUCAGUUCGGAUCGGUGUCUGCAACUCGACACCGUGAAGUUGGAGUCGCUAGUAAUCGCAGAUCAGCAACGCUGCGGUGAAUACGUUCUCGGGCCUUGUACACACGUCGACGCGGCCG